Molecule: ribosomal RNA, 696 nt
Filed under: Vibrio harveyi
Lineage: Bacteria; Pseudomonadati; Pseudomonadota; Gammaproteobacteria; Vibrionales; Vibrionaceae
Description: bacterial SSU rRNA
Rfam family: Bacterial small subunit ribosomal RNA
Source: RNAcentral
UCGAGCGGAACGAGUUAUCUGAACCUUCGGGGGACGAUAACGGCGUCGAGCGGCGGACGGGUGAGUAAUGCCUAGGAAAUUGCCCUGAUGUGGGGGAUAACCAUUGGAAACGAUGGCUAAUACCGCAUAAUGCCUACGGGCCAAAGAGGGGGACCUUCGGGCCUCUCGCGUCAGGAUAUGCCUAGGUGGGAUUAGCUAGUUGGUGAGGUAAUGGCUCACCAAGGCGACGAUCCCUAGCUGGUCUGAGAGGAUGAUCAGCCACACUGGAACUGAGACACGGUCCAGACUCCUACGGGAGGCAGCAGUGGGGAAUAUUGCACAAUGGGCGCAAGCCUGAUGCAGCCAUGCCGCGUGUGUGAAGAAGGCCUUCGGGUUGUAAAGCACUUUCAGUCGUGAGGAAGGUAGUGUAGUUAAUAGCUGCAUUAUUUGACGUUAGCGACAGAAGAAGCACCGGCUAACUCCGUGCCAGCAGCCGCGGUAAUACGGAGGGUGCGAGCGUUAAUCGGAAUUACUGGGCGUAAAGCGCAUGCAGGUGGUUUGUUAAGUCAGAUGUGAAAGCCCGGGGCUCAACCUCGGAAUUGCAUUUGAAACUGGCAGACUAGAGUACUGUAGAGGGGGGUAGAAUUUCAGGUGUAGCGGUGAAAUGCGUAGAGAUCUGAAGGAAUACCGGUGGCGAAGGCGGCCCCCUGGACAGAU